RNAcentral lists this ribosomal RNA (465 nucleotides) under Vreelandella stevensii. RNAcentral describes it as "partial 16S ribosomal RNA". It matches the Rfam family "Bacterial small subunit ribosomal RNA", at positions 338 to 795 of the family's 1533-position model. Lineage: Bacteria; Pseudomonadati; Pseudomonadota; Gammaproteobacteria; Oceanospirillales; Halomonadaceae. The record is from RNAcentral.
CCUACGUGGUGCAGCAGUGGGGAAUAUUGGACAAUGGGCGAAAGCCUGAUCCAGCCAUGCCGCGUGUGUGAAGAAGGCCUUCGGGUUGUAAAGCACUUUCAGUGGGGAAGAAAGCCUUGGGGCUAAUACCCUCGAGGAAGGACAUCACCCACAGAAGAAGCACCGGCUAACUCCGUGCCAGCAGCCGCGGUAAUACGGAGGGUGCGAGCGUUAAUCGGAAUUACUGUGCGUAACGCGCGCGUAGGCGGUCUGAUAAGCCGGUUGUGAAAGCCCCGGGCUCAACCUGGGAACGGCAUCCGGAACUGUCAGGCUAGAGUGCAGGAGAGGAAGGUAGAAUUCCCGGUGUAGCGGUGAAAUGCGUAGAGAUCGGGAGGAAUACCAGUGGCGAAGGCGGCCUUCUGGACUGACACUGACGCUGAGGUGCGAAAGCGUGGGUAGCAAACAGGAUUAGAUACCCCAGUAGUC